This 1035-nucleotide long non-coding RNA is filed under the name Physcomitrium patens. RNAcentral describes it as "long non-coding RNA (PPAT_LNC005340)". The record is from RNAcentral. Lineage: Eukaryota; Viridiplantae; Streptophyta; Bryopsida; Funariales; Funariaceae.
AGAUUAAAUUAAAUUUAGUAUCAAAUGUCAAAUAUGAAUUUAAAAUUUUGUUAAACAAAGGUCAUCAACCUUGUUGACUACAAGUACCAACUUAACUAUCUUAGGAAUAAGAAUUCUCCACUUUUAAUAUUAUGCUGUUAUAUUUCAUGAAGUUUCCAUUAGAAUGCACCAAGUACUUAGCUAUAGAAGGUAAUAUAGAACUUGUAACAAGAAGUUCCUAACAACUCUAUUAGAAUCCUAAAUAAAUUCUAAUUAAAGUAUAAUAAUGCUAAUCAAUCUUUACUUAAAUUUUAAAAGAGGUUUUUAGAAUUUAUUAAAAAAAUAUAAAAAUCAUAAAUUAAUCUUAAAUAAAUAUAUAUAAUAGUAAAAUAUUAAAUAAAUAUAAGAAAUAAAAAUCCUAAUUGAAUUCUAAGAAAAUCUUAAUGUAAUCUUCAACAAAUCCUAAAGAAAUCCUAAACUAAUCUCAACCAAAUCCUAAACCGAAUCUUAAUUGAAUCCUAAUGAAGUCUUAAUUAAAUAUUAAUAGAAUAUUUAUAAAGCCCUAAUCAAAUCCUAAUCAAAUUUUAAUGAAGUCUUAAAUCAACUAUAACCACGCCCUAAAUAAAUCCUAAAUCCUAACCAAAUGCUAAUGAAUUUAUAAACCAAUCUACACCAAAUCCUAAACAAAUCCUAAUAAAAUCCUAAAUCAAUUCUAAUUAAAUCUUAAAUAAAUCCUAAUGAAAUUCUAAACAUGUUCUAAUAAAUUUUUAAACCAAAUCUUAAUAAAACCUUAUUAAAAUCCUAAUUAAAUUCUAAUUAAAUCCUAUUCAAAUUCUAUUCAAAUUCUAACCAAAUCCUAAUAAAGCCAUAAAUUAACUCAAACCAAGCUCUAAAAAAAUUCUAAAUAAAAUCCUAAUGAAAUCUUAAUCAAACCUUAAUCAAAUAUUAAAUUAAAUUAUAAUAAAAUCUUAAUAAAAUCUUAAUAAAAUAUUAAACUAAAUUAUAAUCAAAUCCUAAUCAAACUUUAGGCCAAAUCCUAAUAAAACUCUAAUGAAU